GGGAGAGUUAGAAGCAAGCCACGUGGGUGACUUCUUUUCAAAGUUCUCUGCCUCAGAGGAGGAAGCCCCAUGGGUGGAGGCCAGGCCCGAGGCCAUCCUGCUCUGGGCCAGAGCGUGCCUGUGUCUGAUGAGCGAGGACAUGCCUCGUCUGGCUGAGCCUUCCAUUUCACACCGGCAGCUCGAACCCCCCAUCACGGCUUCCUUUUGGGCUCCCCUCCUCAGGGGACCGAGCUUGAAAUGUGCUUGCCCUUCAUCCCUAAGGCCUGCGUCCCUUCCUCAGAGAGGACUAAGCCCCUCUCCCAGUCUUGAUGUUCUCCGAGGCCCUUCUUAUUCACAGAACCUAUCUGGCUUAUUUAUUCGCUUGCUUGCUUCUGAUGUCUUCUCUUACUGAAAGGAAUCGAAGGGCCAAGGAAUGUGUUUUUCGUUGAUGUCAACUUGCUGCAAAGGACCACACCUGCUUCUCGACCCAGGAACGUGGGAAAGGGAAAGGCUUGGCUUGUUUUGGUGGAGAUGGAGAUGCUGGUAACAGUGGAGGAAUGCCCUCCUUCUGAUUCACAGUGGGGAGGUGCUCUGGGCCCCUGCCACUGCCCGAGGACUUCAGCUUUUGGUUGUCCUGCUGAGAGGAUGCGGCAUUUGAGCAGUAGCUUCUGGAGCCCAGAGUGAAGCCCCACCCAGGCACCCUGACAGGACCACAGGAAUGCUCCUGGCACAGCAAGCAGGACUCUUGAGAAGCUCAGCCUCCACGCUCCUUGUAGAUGUUCAGUUCAAACUCCACAGUUUGUGUGACUCACUGAAGGGCUUGGUUUGGCUCUCGCUGACGAGUCUGUCAUCGGUGCCAGAAUCCUGUUCCCAGUGGGUAAUGGGUUUAAAAGCCCAUAGCUGAGUUUAUCCACAUUGGAUCCGACCCACAUUCCAAUGCUCUUUAGACAACCGGGUUUCACCGUGUUAGCCAGGCUGGCCUCAAACUCCUGACCUCAAGUGAUCCACCCGCAUCGACCUCACAAAGUGCUUGGAUUACAGGUGUGAGCUACUGUGCCAGGCCAGAAAAAAUAAAAUAAAAUAAAAUAAAGAC
Molecule: long non-coding RNA, 1072 nt
Organism: Homo sapiens (human)
Lineage: Eukaryota; Metazoa; Chordata; Mammalia; Primates; Hominidae
Product: long intergenic non-protein coding RNA 1348
Source: Ensembl